Non-coding RNA from Podospora didyma, 90 nucleotides. The record is from the annotation of a GenBank genome assembly. Lineage: Eukaryota; Fungi; Ascomycota; Sordariomycetes; Sordariales; Podosporaceae.
GGCCCGCUGGCCAAAUGGUAAGGCAUCUGAUUUCGGUUUCUGAUAAAGUCUCCUCUCAGAAGAUUGUGCGUUCGAGCCGCACGUGGGUCG